AACGAACGCUGGCGGCGUGGAUAAGACAUGCAAGUCGAACGGGAUUUUACGGGUAGCAAUACUUUGUAAGAUUUAGUGGCGAACGGGUGCGUAACACGUGAGUAAUCUGCCGAGAAGUGGGGGAUAGCUCGCCGAAAGGCGAAUUAAUACCGCAUGUGACUAGCGAGGACAUCCUCGCAACGUUAAAGCCGCAAGGCGCUUCUUGAUGAGCUCGCGGCCUAUCAGCUAGUUGGUGAGGUAACGGCUCACCAAGGCGAUGACGGGUAGCUGGUCUGAGAGGACGACCAGCCACACUGGAACUGAGACACGGUCCAGACACCUACGGGUGGCAGCAGUCGAGAAUUUUUUCACAAUGGGGGAAACCCGUGAUGGAGCGACGCCGCGUGGAGGAUGAAGGCCCUUCGGGUUGUAACUCCUGUCAUAAGAGAACAAGAAAGUGAUAGUAUCUUAAGAGGAAGAGACGGCUAACUCUGUG
Molecule: ribosomal RNA, 475 nt
Filed under: uncultured bacterium
Lineage: Bacteria
Description: bacterial SSU rRNA
Rfam family: Bacterial small subunit ribosomal RNA
Source: RNAcentral